CUACGUGCCAGCAGCCGCGGUAAUACGUAGGGUGCGAGCGUUAAUCGGAAUUACUGGGCGUAAAGCGAGCGCAGACGGUUACUUAAGCAGGAUGUGAAAUCCCCGGGCUCAACCUGGGAACUGCGUUCUGAACUGGGUGACUAGAGUGCGUCAGAGGGAGGUAGAAUUCCACGUGUAGCAGUGAAAUGCGUAGAGAUGUGGAGGAAUACCGAUGGCGAAGGCAGCCUCCUGGGAUAACACUGACGUUCAUGCUCGAAAGCGUGGGUAGCAAACAGGAUUAGAUACCCUGGUAGUCCACGCCCUAAACGAUGUCAAUUAGCUGUUGGGCAACUUGAUUGCUUAGUAGCGUAGCUAACGCGUGAAAUUGACCGCCUGGGGAGUACGGUCGCAAGAUUAAAACUCAAAGGAAUUGACGGGGACCCGCACAAGCGGUGGAUGAUGUGGAUUAAUUCGAUGCAACGCGAAGAACCUUACCUGGUCUUGACAU
RNAcentral lists this ribosomal RNA (487 nucleotides) under uncultured bacterium. RNAcentral's name for it is "bacterial SSU rRNA". It matches the Rfam family "Bacterial small subunit ribosomal RNA", at positions 501 to 987 of the family's 1533-position model. The record is from RNAcentral.